RNAcentral lists this ribosomal RNA (265 nucleotides) under uncultured archaeon. Its description in RNAcentral is "partial 16S ribosomal RNA". It matches the Rfam family "Archaeal small subunit ribosomal RNA", at positions 719 to 982 of the family's 1478-position model. The record is from RNAcentral.
AGUCACUGACAUUAGAUACCCGGGUAGUCCAGGGUGUAAACGCUGCAGACUUGGUGUUGGGAACCCUUCGGGGGUGCUCAGUGCCGGAGAGAAGUUGUUAAGUCUGCUACUUGGGAGUACGUCCGCAAGGAUGAAACUUAAAGGAAUUGGGCGGGGGAGCACCGCAACGGGAGGAGCGUGCGGUUUAAUUGGAUUCAACGACCGAAAACUCACCAGCAGCGACUGUUACAUGAAAGUCAGGUUGAUGACCUUACUAGAUUUUCAG